GAAACAUCUUAGUACCCGUAGGAAGAGAAAACAAGUGUGAUUCCGUGAGUAGUGGCGAGCGAAAGCGGAGGAGGCUAAACCGUGUGUGUGUUCAAGCCGGCAGGUGUUGCAUGUGCGGGGUUGUGGGGGCCUUGUGGUUCUGCUGCCGCAGGAUUGGCCAGUGAGAAAUGUUGCGUGAAGGUGAAGCGUCUGGGAAGGCGUACCGGAGUGGGUG
RNAcentral lists this ribosomal RNA (214 nucleotides) under Kryptoperidinium foliaceum. RNAcentral describes it as "partial Bacterial large subunit ribosomal RNA". It matches the Rfam family "Bacterial large subunit ribosomal RNA", at positions 195 to 366 of the family's 2925-position model. Lineage: Eukaryota; Dinophyceae; Peridiniales; Kryptoperidiniaceae. The record is from RNAcentral.